Long non-coding RNA from Mustela erminea (ermine), 2366 nucleotides. RefSeq lists it as uncharacterized. The record is from RefSeq and is a predicted model, not a curated record. NCBI's taxonomy places the organism in Eukaryota, Metazoa, Chordata, Mammalia, Carnivora, Mustelidae. The transcript has 3 exons.
GAGUUGUCGGGAACCUGGGCAUGCGCAGAGAACACCGGGCGCAAGGACCGCUCUGGGAGGACGCCGAAGUCAACAAGGCUAGGGGGACGCCCCCAUCCGGCUCCGCCCCCACAGGGAUUGCUCCGCCCCCACGACCAAACAACGCGAGGUCUUGAGGAGACCUGGGGACCGACAACUUUUGGGAGAGAUCGCGCGAGAACAGGGCCUCAACCUCCCCGCCCCCUUCCCCGCGUCCUUACGCUGGGGGACCGAAGAGUCGCUGAGAGGCCGUCACCCGUGGCGGAGUGCACUUGAGGUUGGAGAACUCGCUGUGAGGAACAGAGAGCUCUUGGAGUGUCUUAUGCCAGCAAAUAAGUAGUCCAGCCUGAACAUGACACACAUCAUUUCUGCCCAGAACUCAUUGGCCAGAACUUUUCACAGGGCUCAAUCUAUCUCUAAGGAGAAGAAGAAACACUAAGAAUGCGCACAAACAGAGGAAAGGCUGAAUGAGGACAUAGUAAGAAAACAUCCACAAGCCAAAAAUCAAACCUCUUGGACACCUUGAUCUCGGACUUCCAGCCUCCAAAAUUGUGAGGAAAUACAUUUCUGUUGUUUAAGCUACCUGGCCUGUGGAAUUUUUGUUAUAGCAAACUAAUAAAACAACUGUGAUAAUUUUGCCUUUUUACAUUAACAUUUUCCUCCAUUAUUGGUGGGCUAACAUUUUCUCAUUUCCUCCUACUACCACCAAAACAAACCCAACCAAAUCAAACCAAACAAAAUAAGAGAAAUCAUACCGUUUUUCCCCAGCCUGCAGUGGAAGUGGUGAGCUACUGAAGUGGUGAGAAGCAUUUCUACUUUUAGAUGGUUUUCUGCAUCUUUUGGGGCUAACGCUCCAAGGAUCCAAACCCAUUGGACCUCUCUUCUGAAAAUUUGGUAGUAUUAUCAAGAUUUUUGAAGUUUUGUUGACCCUCUUUGUUAAUUGUACACACAUUAUUUCGAUGGGUUAGAAAACAAGCGUAUGAUGUACUCAAAGUCUUUAGUAUCUUUUGAUUUUCUUUCUAUAAUAUUCUCUUUUCAAGAUAAUAAAUUGUGUCCUUAAUUAAGCUGUGCCCCUUCCUUUGUAGGAGAAUCUUGCAUAGUUUUAAGCACUUUUAAGUUUUGAUGUUAUUUAUAUUGUCCAAUUUCAGAAAACUAUAUCUUGCAUUUCAGCUUCGUUCUGCUAUUAUUUCAUUAUUUCAUUCUGCCUUCUUGUUUCAUAGGUGCCUCUUGAAUAAGAGAAAGAUUGUGUAAAUUUGGGGUCUGUCAGCCUACUUCUUGAGACCUAUCCCAGGUGGCUUUGAUAUUACCUGAAGCAAACCCAGGGUUUCCUAAAACUCAGCUUCUGUGUUUCGGACAGUGCUCUGGUAGAAGUGUCAUAAGAUCCCUGUCUCCAACCGUAUAAGCUAGUAUCAAGAAACGUGUGACCUUAUGAAAACACACUUCUGAUGGGCACAGUAGCGUAAGCUACCUCUCCAUGAUUCAAAUUUUAUAAUUGGAAUUAACAGUCCAAAAGUGGCAUUGGUGCUAAAUAGCACAAUUGUGCCAUCUGUUUCAAUGCCAUAGUUUUGGGGAUUUCUAUAUGGUAUAUUGAAAGAUUAUUUUAAGAGGUGCAGUUUAUGAUGAAAUCUUCUAAUAGUGCCUCUUUACUAAACCAACUUGAUAUUUAUAAAUGCCUGGGAAGGGGGGAAGCUACUGAAAUUGUAUCACUACCUUCAGAAAGAUUUUUAAAGGGCUUGUUUAAUAUUAAUGUUGUGUACAAUUACUUUUGAGCUCUUGCCAAGAGUGCCAGGAUAAUAUAGGAUAUGAAUAUCCCAGUGUGCCUGAAAAUUAUUUUAAUUUACAAAACCCUACUCAAGCUGCUCUUUGUAGAUUUUAAACUUGAGGGCAGAUUUUGCAAAGGAGCAGAAUAUUUGCAAAACUAUGCAAAUAUGCAUCAGAAUGUAGCCUCAGGCUUAUAGCACGUAAAAACACCUGAGAUCUCGUGGUCCAGAGGGAGACAUUACAUAAUAUUCAAAAUGACAAGAUGCUUCCAGGACUCACAGGUUUUGCAGAAGAGUUCAAAAAUGGCUAUAAGAAGGGGUGGCAUGUUGCCUAAACAGCUCUUCUUCAUGGGGUCCUCACACAUUCGCCUUUUCUCUUGGUCUCUGUGUUACUCAAUUUCUCUCUCCUGGUCUAACAUUUAACUCAGCUGCAAAAAACCCCAGCUUUCUUUAUUCUCCCUCUCUUUCCAGAUUAUACCCUGGAGACUUUAUCUUUUCCCUAAAAAGUAUAUUUUCCUAAACUAAGAGUCACCUAUUCUGAGAUGAAUUAUGUAUCUUCCAUAGUGUCAAAACACUAAACAUUUUUAA